UCCUUCCGUAGGGUGAACCUGCGGAAGGAUCAUUA
This 35-nucleotide ribosomal RNA is filed under the name Lodderomyces orthopsilosis. RNAcentral's name for it is "Candida orthopsilosis partial 18S ribosomal RNA". The record is from RNAcentral. Lineage: Eukaryota; Fungi; Ascomycota; Pichiomycetes; Serinales; Debaryomycetaceae.